CAAGAGCUUGGUCCUGACUCUGCUAUCAACUUUAGCUAAACUUACACAUGCAAGUAUCCGCGCCCCUGUGAGAAUGCCCUAUAGUCCUCCUCCCGAGAACAAGGAGCUGGCAUCAGGCACAUUAUUCAGCCCAAGACGCCUUGCUUAGCCACACCCCCAAGGGAACUCAGCAGUGAUAAACAUUAAGCCAUAAGUGCAAACUUGACUUAGUUAAAGCUAAGAGGGCCGGUAAAACUCGUGCCAGCCACCGCGGUUAUACGAGAGGCCCGAGUUGAUAGGUACCGGCGUAAAGGGUGGUUAAGUCAAAAUAAAACUAAAGCCAAACGUCUCCAAGGCUGUUAUACGCAUACGGAGAUAAGAAGAACAACCACGAAAGUGGCUUUAUUUAUCCUGAACCCACGAAAGCUAAGAUACAAACUGGGAUUAGAUACCCCACUAUG
Molecule: ribosomal RNA, 440 nt
Filed under: Spinachia spinachia (sea stickleback)
Lineage: Eukaryota; Metazoa; Chordata; Actinopteri; Perciformes; Gasterosteidae
Description: partial small subunit ribosomal RNA
Rfam family: Bacterial small subunit ribosomal RNA
Source: RNAcentral